GGAGACCUGUGUUCCCCUCAUGGAGCUACAGUUCCCAGAGUUUGAUUAUUUCUUAAACCACUCUUGGAACUGUGGCUCUGUGAGGGGAAUAGGAGUCUC
Podarcis lilfordi (Lilford's wall lizard) is the source of this 99-nucleotide non-coding RNA. NCBI's taxonomy places the organism in Eukaryota, Metazoa, Chordata, Lepidosauria, Squamata, Lacertidae. The record is from the annotation of a GenBank genome assembly.